GACGAACGCUGGCGGCGUGCCUAACACAUGCCAGUCGAACGCCCACUUUAUACCGUCUCUUGCUUCACCAUAGCCUGUGAGUUGCGAACGGGUGAGUCACGCGUAUGUACCCUGCCUGGGAGCGGAGGGUAACUAUUCGUAACGAUAGCUAAUAUCGCAUAAUCUUAAUUAUUCCAUGGUACUUAAUUCAAAGGUGCAAUUGCACCACUACCAGCUGGUCCUGCGGUGUAUUAGCUAGUAGGUGAGGUAACGGCCCACCCAGGCGACGACACAUAGCCGAGCUGAGAGGGAGAUCGGCCAAACCUGGAACGGAGCACGGCCCAGAACCCUACGGGAGGGAGCCGGAGGGAAUUAUUGGCAAUGGGGGAAAGUCUGACCGAGCAACGCCGGGUGAGUGAAGAAGGGUUUCGGAGUGGAAAGCUCUGUUGUAAGAGAAGAACGGGUGGGAGAUUGAAAAGUUCACACUGUGACGGUACCUAACCAGAAAGCAACGGCUAACUACGUG
Molecule: ribosomal RNA, 505 nt
Filed under: uncultured bacterium
Lineage: Bacteria
Description: partial 16S ribosomal RNA
Rfam family: Bacterial small subunit ribosomal RNA
Source: RNAcentral